CAGCAGCCGCGGUAAUACGAAGGGUGCAAGCGUUACUCGGAAUUACUGGGCGUAAAGCGCACGCAGGCGGUCUGACAAGUCAGAUGUGAAAUCCCCGGGCUUAACCUGGGAACUGCAUUUGAAACUGUCAGGCUGGAGUCUUGUAGAGGGGGGUAGAAUUCCAGGUGUAGCGGUGAAAUGCGUAGAGAUCUGGAGGAAUACCGGUGGCGAAGGCGGCCCCCUGGACAAAGACUGACGCUCAGGUGCGAAAGCGUGGGGAGCAAACAGGAUUAGAUACCCCUGUAGUCCCUGUCUCUUAUAC
RNAcentral lists this ribosomal RNA (301 nucleotides) under uncultured bacterium. RNAcentral describes it as "partial 16S ribosomal RNA". It matches the Rfam family "Bacterial small subunit ribosomal RNA", at positions 509 to 807 of the family's 1533-position model. The record is from RNAcentral.